CGGACGGGUGAGUAAUGUCUGGGAAACUGCCCGAUGGAGGGGGAUAACUACUGGAAACGGUAGCUAAUACCGCAUAACGUCGCAAGACCAAAGAGGGGGACCUUCGGGCCUCUUGCCAUCGGAUGUGCCCAGAUGGGAUUAGCUAGUAAGUGGGGUAACGGCUCACCUAGGCGACGAUCCCUAGCUGGUCUGAGAGGAUGACCAGCCACACUGGAACUGAGACACGGUCCAG
This 232-nucleotide ribosomal RNA is filed under the name uncultured bacterium. RNAcentral describes it as "partial 16S ribosomal RNA". It matches the Rfam family "Bacterial small subunit ribosomal RNA", at positions 99 to 334 of the family's 1533-position model. The record is from RNAcentral.